UGGGGAAUUUUGGACAAUGGGCGAAAGCCUGAUCCAGCAAUGCCGCGUGUGUGAAGAAGGCCUUCGGGUUGUAAAGCACUUUUGUCCGGAAAGAAAUCGCACUUACUAAUACUAGGUGUGGAUGACGGUACCGGAAGAAUAAGGACCGGCUAACUACGUG
Molecule: ribosomal RNA, 160 nt
Filed under: uncultured bacterium
Lineage: Bacteria
Description: partial 16S ribosomal RNA
Rfam family: Bacterial small subunit ribosomal RNA
Source: RNAcentral